GACGAACGCUGGCGGCGUGCUUAACACAUGCAAGUCGAACGGAAAGGCCCUGCUUUUGUGGGGUGCUCGAGUGGCGAACGGGUGAGUAACACGUGAGUAACCUGCCCUUGACUUUGGGAUAACUUCAGGAAACUGGGGCUAAUACCGGAUAGGAGCUCCUGCUGCAUGGUGGGGGUUGGAAAGUUUCGGCGGUUGGGGAUGGACUCGCGGCUUAUCAGCUUGUUGGUGGGGUAGUGGCUUACCAAGGCUUUGACGGGUAGCCGGCCUGAGAGGGUGACCGGCGACAUUGGGACUGAGAUACGGCCCAGACUCCUACGGGAGGCAGCAGUGGGGAAUAUUGCACAAUGGGCGGAAGCCUGAUGCAGCAACGCCGCGUGCGGGAUGACGGCCUUCGGGUUGUAAACCGCUUUCGCCUGUGACGGAGCGUGAGUGACGGUAAUGGGUAAAGAAGCACCGGCUAACUACGUG
RNAcentral lists this ribosomal RNA (468 nucleotides) under uncultured bacterium. RNAcentral describes it as "partial 16S ribosomal RNA". It matches the Rfam family "Bacterial small subunit ribosomal RNA", at positions 28 to 507 of the family's 1533-position model. The record is from RNAcentral.